UAGGGGCCUGAGGGCACACAGUGUGUUGUAGAUAUGUGGUAGUGGUGGAGUAGGGGCCUGAGGGCACACAGUGUGUUGUAGAUAUGUGGUAGUGGUGGAGUAUGGGCCUGAGGGCACACAGUGUGUUGUAGAUAUGUGGUAGUGGUGGAGUAGGGGCCUGAGGGCACACAGUGUGUUGUAGAUAUGUGGUUGUGGUGGAGUAGGGGCCUGAGGGCACACAGUGUGUUGUAGAUAUGUGGUAGUGGUGGGAGUAGGGGCCUGAGGGCACACAGUGUGUUGUAGCUAUGUGGUUGUGGUGGGGUAGGGGCCUGAGGGCACACAGUGUGUUGUAGAUAUGUGGUAGUGGUGGAGUAGGGGCCUGAGGGCACACAGUGUGUUGUAGAUAUGUGGUUGUGGUGG
Molecule: long non-coding RNA, 399 nt
Organism: Oncorhynchus tshawytscha (Chinook salmon)
Lineage: Eukaryota; Metazoa; Chordata; Actinopteri; Salmoniformes; Salmonidae
Source: Ensembl